AUCCUUAUGCACGGGAAAUACGCAUAUCAGUGAGGAUUCGUCCGAGAUUGUGUUUUUGCUGGUUGAAAUUUUAAUUUUAACCUGACCCGCUCCUCAUCGUCGAUAUUGGAAUCUUCGCUAUAGAAUUUUCCAUGACAAUGUAGGGAAUUUUUGGACUCUCUCAAA
This 165-nucleotide small nuclear RNA is filed under the name Henningerozyma blattae CBS 6284. RNAcentral describes it as "Tetrapisispora blattae CBS 6284 U4 spliceosomal RNA". It matches the Rfam family "U4 spliceosomal RNA". From Rfam's summary of the family: U4 small nuclear RNA (U4 snRNA) is a component of the major U2-dependent spliceosome. Lineage: Eukaryota; Fungi; Ascomycota; Saccharomycetes; Saccharomycetales; Saccharomycetaceae. The record is from Rfam by way of RNAcentral.